This 2499-nucleotide long non-coding RNA is filed under the name Musa acuminata (dwarf banana). Its description in RNAcentral is "long non-coding RNA (MACU_LNC006032)". The record is from RNAcentral. Lineage: Eukaryota; Viridiplantae; Streptophyta; Magnoliopsida; Zingiberales; Musaceae.
GAGUGCUGAAACUGGUUGAAUAUUGGUGCUUUAAUUCAUGCAUGUAUUAACUGGUAGCCACCCUUUUCUGUGAUCAACCAUGACAAUCUCACUGUACUGAACACCUUUAGCAUUUCUAUUAAUUAGUUGACAAUUAUGAGAUAAAAAGUUUAAAACUUAGUUGAGCACUUAGCAUAAAGAAGCUUCCAACCUUCGCAAGAAUCCACACCUUCAAUGCCAUGUCAUGAUGAAGUUAAUUAUGGCCUUCAAAACAAACAAAAGAUUAAAGCACUCGUAUAUUAACCAGAUAGAUCAUAGACGAGAAAAAUAUAUCAAUAUUUAACAAAUUUCUUGUGCAAUGACUACAAUGAGCACCAGCAUCUCAAAUGUGAAGAUAGCAGCCAUCAUCAACUCCAAAGUAAUCAGGUUCAAUAAGAAACUGUUUCUUUUCCUCUGCCAAGAACAACAUCCAAGUGAGUGGAAAGCUUGUUCUUAGAUGUUACAAGCAAACCUAAAGGAAGAAAUGGCUGUCGAAUCCAACAAGAAUUUUUAUCUUAUGUGGUAUUGACUAAAGUACAGAAUGUCAGGCAAACAUGAUAGUCAAACAUAUAUAUAGUAACUGCUCAAACUAUCUCUUUCGAGUGAUGAAAAAAUUAGGGGUAAAGAAAGCUAAGCAAAACUGCUAAAAGUGGACAUGAUCAAUAUUUAUUAACAUGUCAAACACAGCUCGUGAACCUGCCCUGACACUACCGAUCCAGUAAUUUUCGUUGAGCCCAAAACCAUGUGAUCUAAAUUGCUUAGCCCUAGAAACCAACAAAAUCCUCCUCCCAAAUUUAACUCUAUUCAGAUUUGCUUUCAGCUUAUUUUUCUUAUGUUAUUCUCAACACAUUUGUUCUUUCUUCAAUCUCCGACCAGGUCUUAUGACAAGUGACACUAAUCAAAUAGAUGAAAAAGAAGGAAGCACAACAUAUCAACAACCAUACACAAGUAUAGUUACCCAUGACACCUAAGAUAUUGGUCCUUUGGUGUCAGAUGCUGCAAAAAUAACAUCAUGAAAAUAGAAAUAUGAGCAUGGCUAUUUAAUUACAGCAUAUACGUGACUAAAGCAUUUGAUUUGUUUCUAGCAACAGAGCUUUAGUUUGUUUCUGGGUGCAAAAAGUUAAUAUGCCGAUAUUAAAAGUUUUAGAACUUAAACUAAUCCUCAGAGGAGUCAGAAUUUAGACAAUAAAAUAGAGGGAUAAGAAAGCUAAAGACUAAAACAAAAUUUGACUAGACAAUUUUAAAAUGAUCAAAUUUUUCAAUGAAGAAAAUUGCCUAUGAGAUCAUUAGUCGAGUUUCUUAUGGUUUGUUAUCUCACCCUAUAUAGUUGAGAGAAACGAUAGAGGUCUUCUCCAAUAUCUGAUGAUAAUCAGAAAAUUGGCAUCAUAAACUAUGAAUGGUACUCUACUAUUUGUACCAGAUCUAAUGACAAAUGUCCUUCGAUAUCUAUUUAUUCUCAAGCCAUGGGACACACCAUCUUUUUUCCUUUGAGCCCAUAUGAAGUAAAGAUUAUGGGUUACAUAUGAAAGGGCAUGUCCAUCCAUAGUCUAUCUUGGACGGUCAAAGAUUGUGCUGCAUGACUACAGAAGAACAAUCAAAUUCAUGUCAAUUAAUUCAAGUAUCAAGCAUCCACGAAAGAGAAUUGAUACCACAAGAACCAUAUCUAAUUUCAAAACUAUGAUUAUAGUUCUCCCAGUAGAAAAAGAGCAAGCACAUAAAAUUCCAAUUAAAAAAAUAUACUAGGUCUAUAAUACGGCUCCCUGCUUUAGCAACCUAAACAAUUUCCCUGUCGUAAACUCAAUCUCUAUGUGAUCUUGCGAGUAAGCUGACAAGGGAUAAUUAAAGGUGAUAAUCUUAGAAGCAGAAACAUAGAAUAGAUGAGGAGAGCAAUCCUAUCGAAUCAUAGAAGAUCACUGCGGUUAGCAAGUAGCAGCAAAUCCUCGCCAACACUAAUUCAUGCAGUGAUCGGAGAACUAGCAAUUCAACAAGCACAUGGCAUUGUUCUCAAAUAAAGUAAAUCUAACUUGAAUUGUCAUUUCCAGGCCCUUAAAAGUUGAUGGUUUCCAUUAAUCUCAAAAAAGAAAAGAAAAUAAGUAUAAUAGCAAUCACCAGCAAGAAUGCGAGAUGGAAGUGAAGGAUGGCAACCUAGGCUAUUCGAGGGACCAGUAGAAGCAUUGGCCCCGAGGAUAGGAGUGCUGGUCUCCGGAAAAAUCACCUGCCGUGCUGCGUCUCCGCGAAGCUAUCUGCGCGCCAACAAAUGUAAGAAAAAUUCUCGUAAUCGCAAUUGACAUCAACAUCAGAGAAUGGGGAAAGAACAAGGAAAGGAAGAAGAAGAAGGGGGAGAUGAGCAUGUUGCGGAUGGUCUGGGAGACCACGAUGUGCUUCUUGUUGACCACGAACUCGAAACCCUCGGCAGUUAUCAGCUUCACCGUCUCCUCUUUCCCUCUGUGGUAUCUUCGCCCUCCACUCCGCUUCAUCGCC